UACGUAGGGCGCAAGCGUUGUCCGGAAUUAUUGGGCGUAAAGAGCUCGUAGGCGGUUUGUCGCGUCUGCUGUGAAAGCCCGGGGCUCAACCCCGGGUCUGCAGUGGGUACGGGCAGACUAGAGUGCAGUAGGGGAGACUGGAAUUCCCGUGGUGCGGUGGAAAUGCGCAGAUAUCAGGAGGAACACCGAUGGCGAAGGCAGGCUCUGGGCUGUUACUGACGCUGAGGAGCGAAAGCAUGGGGAGCGAACAGGAUUAGAUACCGGGUAGUCC
Molecule: ribosomal RNA, 271 nt
Filed under: uncultured bacterium
Lineage: Bacteria
Description: partial 16S ribosomal RNA
Rfam family: Bacterial small subunit ribosomal RNA
Source: RNAcentral